This 507-nucleotide ribosomal RNA is filed under the name Triticum aestivum (bread wheat). Its description in RNAcentral is "partial small subunit ribosomal RNA". The record is from RNAcentral. Lineage: Eukaryota; Viridiplantae; Streptophyta; Magnoliopsida; Poales; Poaceae.
AUGGAGUGCCGGCUCGCUCUCGCCAAGGCGAAGGACGCCUACAACCUGGACACGCCUGCCCCGGCGGCGACAGAAGGGCGCCCUGAUGGCAACAAACCAGCCAAGGCGGCGAGGGGCGCGGUACCCACUGCCGAACGGCUGCAAUCGUCGAUCGAGCAGCAUCGCCGACGCCAAGAGCAACGCCGCCAAGGGGGAGGAGAAAUCCGAUGCGAGGUGGUCGGUGUUGAUGAGGAAGCAGGACGUCAAGCUCGACCUUCUCAGGACCAACAUCGUCGCGAAGAAGAGGAACACCGACCUGACGUUCUUGAUGGGGACAGACACGUCGAUGAUGGACGAGCAGGUGAAGCCGUGGUACCUGGCGGACACGGCCUUAUCUUGAACCAGAUGUCGGGACCAACGGCGACCGCCGCCCCUACGCCCACGCCGACGCCGAGCCCGAACACUGAAACUGCGCCCACGCCGACGCCGACCUCAGCCAGCCCUGUGGCAGAGGAGCCUGCCGCUUGA